RNAcentral lists this ribosomal RNA (468 nucleotides) under uncultured bacterium. RNAcentral describes it as "partial 16S ribosomal RNA". It matches the Rfam family "Bacterial small subunit ribosomal RNA", at positions 28 to 507 of the family's 1533-position model. The record is from RNAcentral.
GACGAACGCUGGCGGCGGGCUUAACACAUGCAAGUCGAACGGAAAGGCCCUGCUUUUGUGUGGUGCUCGAGUGGCGAACGGGUGAGUUACACGUGAGUAACCUGCCCUUGGCUUUGGGAUAACUUCAGGAAACUGUUACUAAUACCGGAUAGGAGCUCCAGCUUCAUGGGGGUGGUUGGAAAGUUUCGGCGGUUGGGGAUAUACGCGCGGGUUAUCAGCUUGUUGGUGGGGUAGUGGCUUACCAAGGCUUUGACGGCUAGCCGGCCUGAGAGGGUGACCGGCGUCAUUGGGACUGCGAUAAGGCCCAGACUAGAAGCGGAGGCAGAAGUGGGGAUUAUUAGCCAAUGACGGGAAGCCUGAUGAAGAGACGUUGCGUGUGGGAAGAAGGCCAUAGGGUUAUAAAACGCUUUCACCUAUGACGAAGCGUGUGUGACGGUAAUGGGAAAAGAAGCACCGGCUAACUACGUG